RNAcentral lists this ribosomal RNA (842 nucleotides) under marine metagenome. RNAcentral's name for it is "bacterial SSU rRNA". It matches the Rfam family "Bacterial small subunit ribosomal RNA", at positions 667 to 1520 of the family's 1533-position model. The record is from RNAcentral.
UUUCUAGUGUAGAGGUGAAAUUCGUAGAUAUUAGAAAGAAUACCAAUUGCGAAGGCAGCUUUCUGGAUCAUUACUGACACUGAGGAACGAAAGCAUGGGUAGCGAAGAGGAUUAGAUACCCUCGUAGUCCAUGCCGUAAACGAUGUGUGUUAGACGUUGGAAAUUUAUUUUCAGUGUCGCAGUGAAAGCGAUAAACACACCGCCUGGGGAGUACGACCGCAAGGUUAAAACUCAAAUGAAUUGACGGGGACCCGCACAAGUAGUGGAGCAUGUGGUUUAAUUCGAAGAUACGCGCAGAACCUUACCAACACUUGACAUGUUCGUCGCGACUCUAAGAGAUUAGAGUUUUCGGUUCGGCCGGACGAAACACAGGUGCUGCAUGGCUGUCGUCAGCUCGUGUCGUGAGAUGUUGGGUUAAGUCCCGCAACGAGCGCAACCCUCACUUUUAGUUGCCAUCAUUAAGUUGGGCACUCUGAAAGAACUGCCAGUGAUAAGCUGGAGGAAGGUGGGGAUGACGUCAAGUCCUCAUGGCCCUUACGUGUUGGGCUACACACGUGCUACAAUGGUAUCUACAACAGGAAGCAAAACAGCGAUGUUAAGCAAAUCCUUAAAAGAUACCUCAGUUCGGAUUGCACUCUGCAACUCGAGUGCAUGAAGCUGGAAUUACUAGUAAUCGUGGAUCAGCGUGCCACGGUGAAUGCGUUCCCGGGUCUUGUACACACCGCCCGUCACACCAUGGGAGUUGGUUCUACCUUAAGGCAAGGUUUAAAACCCUUGACCACGGUAUAGUCAGCGACUGGGGUGAAGUCGUAACAAGGUAGCCGUAGGGGAACCUGCGGCUG